This 443-nucleotide ribosomal RNA is filed under the name uncultured bacterium. RNAcentral's name for it is "partial 16S ribosomal RNA". It matches the Rfam family "Bacterial small subunit ribosomal RNA", at positions 338 to 795 of the family's 1533-position model. The record is from RNAcentral.
CCUACGGGCGGCAGCAGUGGGGAAUAUUGGGCAAUGGGCGCAAGCCUGACCCAGCAACGUCGCGUGAAGGAAGAAGGCCCUCGGGUUGUAAACUUCUUUUAUUCGGGACGAAACAAAUGACGGUACCGCAUGAAUAAGCCACGGAUAACUACGUGCCAGCAGCCGCGGUAAUACGUAGGCGGCAAGCGUUAUCCGGAUUUACUGGGUGUAAAGGGAGUGUAGGUGGGAGGGCAAGGCAGAUGUGAAAGUGCAGGGCUCAACCCUGGAAGUGCGUUUGAAACUGGUCUUCUUGAGUUAAGGAGAGGCAGGCGGAAUUCCGUGUGUAGCGGUGAAAUGCGUAGAUAUAACGAAGAACACCGAUGGCGAAGGCAGCCUACUAGACUGUGACUGACACUGAGGCGCGAAAGCGUGGGUAGCAAACAGGAUUAGAUACCCCUGUAGUC